RNAcentral lists this long non-coding RNA (645 nucleotides) under Ananas comosus (pineapple). Its description in RNAcentral is "long non-coding RNA (ACOM_LNC014863)". The record is from RNAcentral. Lineage: Eukaryota; Viridiplantae; Streptophyta; Magnoliopsida; Poales; Bromeliaceae.
GAAGCUAAGGUUAGAGAGACAAGAAUAAUAUGAUGUACUCUUAGGCUCUGUUUGGUUGGCGGUAUAAGAAGGGAUAACAGAAGUUAUCCCUGCUAUUCCGCCAAACAAAAUAAUUUUUGGCCGGGAUAUUUUAUUCCGGUCAAACCUUACUAUUCCCGACUAUUCCGGAAUAGCAUGGGAUUUGCUAUUCCACCAUUUUGAUGGAAUAGUGCUAUUCCAAUGCUUAAUUUCAAACUUAAUUAAAAUUAUGAAUUGAAUUAAAACUAAAUUAUAUAAAUAUAAUAUGUUAUAUAUUAUAAUACAUUUUUUUGUUAUAAAAUUAUUAAUUGUACUAUAUUAAUAAUAUUAUUUAUAUUUAAAUAUUAUAAUAAAUUUUAUAAUAAAUUAUAUUUAAAUAUUAUAAUAAAUUAUUUUUAUUAAAUUUAAGUUUAAGUAGAAAUUUAAAAAAAAUUAUAAAUUUAUUAAUAAUAAAAAAAUUUAUAAAUUUAUUAAAAUAUUUAUUUUUAUCAAAUUUAUAAUUUUAUUAUAAUAAAUUAUUUUUAUUAAUUGUUCCAACCCUAUUCUUAUUUAAAAAAUUUAAAAUAUAAAUAUUUAAAUUUAAAAUUUAAAUUUUUAAAAUUUAAAAUUUGUAAUCUCAAAAUUAAA